AGCGAACGCUGGCGGCAGGCUUAACACAUGCCAGUCGAGCGGGCCCUUCGGGGUCAGCGGCAGACGGGUGAGUAACGCGUGGGAACGUGCCCUUCGGUUCGGAAUAACUCAGGGAAACUUGAGCUAAUACCGGAUACGCCCUUAUGGGGAAUGGUUUACUGCCGAAGGAUCGGCCCGCGUCUGAUUAGCUAGUUGGUGAGGUUAUGGCUCACCAAGGCGACGAUCAGUAGCUGGUCUGAGAGGAUGAUCAGCCACACUGGGACUGAGACACGGCCCAGACUCCUACGGGAGGCAGCAGUGGGGAAUAUUGGACAAUGGGGGCAACCCUGAUCCAGCCAUGCCGGGUGAGUGAUGACGGCCUUAGGGUUGUAAAGCUCUUUUCUCCGGGACGAUAAUGACGGUACCGGAGGAAUAAGCCCCGGCUAACUUCGUG
Molecule: ribosomal RNA, 433 nt
Filed under: uncultured bacterium
Lineage: Bacteria
Description: partial 16S ribosomal RNA
Rfam family: Bacterial small subunit ribosomal RNA
Source: RNAcentral